GGGGGCGACCUGGCUUCGACGUAGGUUACGAAACCCUAGGUGCAUGCCGAGAAUGAGAACUCUCGAAAAACAGGCUCAAUUAAAUAUAAAUGCAAAUGAUGAAAACUUUGCAGGUGAAGCAAUCGCAGCGUAAGCUGAAAUUGUUAAACCGCACCGUGAGCUGCCUAUAAACCAGCUCCCCGUUGACCGAGCUUGCUUACCGGUAUCGACUCAACGGUCAUAGAAGAUAAGCUAGCAGUUGAACAUGUCCCGAGUUUAAUUGCGAAAUUUAGGGAAUCGCUGUAAAGUAUCCUGUGUGUCGGAGCCUUUGCAGUUAACUUAAAAGACAUAACUAAGCAUGUAGAGCCAAAGGCGUAGGAUUUGCGGACGCGGGUUCAAUUCCCGCCGCCUCCACCA
Molecule: transfer-messenger RNA, 396 nt
Filed under: Alphaproteobacteria (a-proteobacteria)
Lineage: Bacteria; Pseudomonadati; Pseudomonadota
Also listed under: 1 other name
Description: UBA6929 sp002448815 Standard tmRNA
Rfam family: transfer-messenger RNA
About the family: Bacterial tmRNA, also known as 10Sa RNA or SsrA, is named for its dual tRNA and mRNA-like properties. Its role is to liberate the mRNA from a stalled ribosome. To accomplish this part of the tmRNA is used as a reading frame that ends in a translation stop signal.
Source: RNAcentral